This 424-nucleotide ribosomal RNA is filed under the name Verrucomicrobiota bacterium. RNAcentral's name for it is "Verrucomicrobia bacterium partial 16S ribosomal RNA". It matches the Rfam family "Bacterial small subunit ribosomal RNA", at positions 355 to 776 of the family's 1533-position model. The record is from RNAcentral. Lineage: Bacteria; Pseudomonadati; Verrucomicrobiota.
UGAAGAAUAUUGGUCAAUGGGCGAGAGCCUGAACCAGCCAAGUAGCGUGCAGGAUGACGGCCCUAUGGGUUGUAAACUGCUUUUAUAUGGGAAUAAAGUGAGGGACGUGUCCCUUAUUGCAUGUACCAUACGAAUAAGGACCGGCUAAUUCCGUGCCAGCAGCCGCGGUAAUACGGAAGGUUCGGGCGUUAUCCGGAUUUAUUGGGUUUAAAGGGAGCGUAGGCCGUUUGGUAAGCGUGUUGUGAAAUGUAGGAGCUCAACUUCUAGAUUGCAGCGCGAACUGUCAGACUUGAGUGCGCACAACGUAGGCGGAAUUCAUGGUGUAGCGGUGAAAUGCUUAGAUAUCAUGAAGAACUCCGAUUGCGAAGGCAGCUUACGGGAGCGCAACUGACGCUGAAGCUCGAAGGUGCGGGUAUCGAACAGG